Molecule: ribosomal RNA, 1062 nt
Filed under: Rhodococcus sp. YF20
Lineage: Bacteria; Bacillati; Actinomycetota; Actinomycetes; Mycobacteriales; Nocardiaceae
Description: bacterial SSU rRNA
Rfam family: Bacterial small subunit ribosomal RNA
Source: RNAcentral
CGUGCUUACCAUGCAAGUCGAACGAUGAAGCCCAGCUUGCUGGGUGGAUUAGUGGCGAACGGGUGAGUAACACGUGGGUGAUCUGCCCUGCACUCUGGGAUAAGCCUGGGAAACUGGGUCUAAUACCGGAUAUGACCUCGGGAUGCAUGUUCUGGGGUGGAAAGUUUUUCGGUGCAGGAUGAGCCCGCGGCCUAUCAGCUUGUUGGUGGGGUAAUGGCCUACCAAGGCGACGACGGGUAGCCGGCCUGAGAGGGCGACCGGCCACACUGGGACUGAGACACGGCCCAGACUCCUACGGGAGGCAGCAGUGGGGAAUAUUGCACAAUGGGCGCAAGCCUGAUGCAGCGACGCCGCGUGAGGGAUGACGGCCUUCGGGUUGUAAACCUCUUUCACCCAUGACGAAGCGCAAGUGACGGUAGUGGGAGAAGAAGCACCGGCCAACUACGUGCCAGCAGCCGCGGUAAUACGUAGGGUGCGAGCGUUGUCCGGAAUUACUGGGCGUAAAGAGCUCGUAGGCGGUUUGUCGCGUCGUCUGUGAAAUCCCGCAGCUCAACUGCGGGCUUGCAGGCGAUACGGGCAGACUCGAGUACUGCAGGGGAGACUGGAAUUCCUGGUGUAGCGGUGAAAUGCGCAGAUAUCAGGAGGAACACCGGUGGCGAAGGCGGGUCUCUGGGCAGUAACUGACGCUGAGGAGCGAAAGCGUGGGUAGCGAACAGGAUUAGAUACCCUGGUAGUCCACGCCGUAAACGGUGGGCGCUAGGUGUGGGUUUCCUUCCACGGGAUCCGUGCCGUAGCCAACGCAUUAAGCGCCCCGCCUGGGGAGUACGGCCGCAAGGCUAAAACUCAAAGGAAUUGACGGGGGCCCGCACAAGCGGCGGAGCAUGUGGAUUAAUUCGAUGCAACGCGAAGAACCUUACCUGGGUUUGACAUGUACCGGACGACUGCAGAGAUGUGGUUUCCCUUGUGCCGUAGACAGGUGUGCAUGGCUGUCGUCAGCUCGUGUCGUGAGAAUGUUGGGUUAAGUCCCGCAACGAGCGCAACCCUUGUUCUGGUGUUGCAGCA